RNAcentral lists this ribosomal RNA (383 nucleotides) under uncultured bacterium. RNAcentral describes it as "bacterial SSU rRNA". It matches the Rfam family "Bacterial small subunit ribosomal RNA", at positions 28 to 404 of the family's 1533-position model. The record is from RNAcentral.
GACGAACGCUGGCGGCGCGCUUAACACAUGCAAGUCGAGCGAGAACCAGCCCUUCGGGGCUGGGGAAAGCGGCGAACGGGUGAGUAGCACGUGGGUAAUCUGCCCUCGGCACCGGAAUAGCCCGGGGAAACCCGGAUUAAUGCCGGAUGGCCUCUCGAGCUCUCGAGCUCGUGAGAAAAGGUAGCUUCGGCCUCCGGCCGAGGAUGAGCCCGCGGUCGAUUAGCUUGUUGGUGAGGUAANGGCUCACCAAGGCGACGAUCGAUAGCUGGUCUGAGAGGACGAUCAGCCACACUGGGACUGAGACACGGCCCAGACUCCUACGGGAGGCAGCAGUGGGGAAUCUUGCGCAAUGGGCGAAAGCCUGACGCAGCGACGCCGUGUGC